AGAUCGAUCUGUUGCUUCCUCUAA
RNAcentral lists this non-coding RNA (24 nucleotides) under Arabidopsis thaliana (thale cress). Lineage: Eukaryota; Viridiplantae; Streptophyta; Magnoliopsida; Brassicales; Brassicaceae. The record is from RNAcentral.